UGCUGUUUCAGACCUCAUCAGCCAGCUCAUCUCUUUUCUGCUCCGCAUGACGUCUGGAUCGUUUAGAAGCUGCAAGUUCCUCUUGAAGUUGGAGAAUUUCUGCUUCUAUUUUUGACUCUAGAUUCAUUCAUCUCUUUCUGAUUCUCCUCUGAUUGAGCA
Bufo bufo (common toad) is the source of this 159-nucleotide long non-coding RNA. RefSeq lists it as uncharacterized. The transcript has 3 exons. The record is from RefSeq and is a predicted model, not a curated record. NCBI's taxonomy places the organism in Eukaryota, Metazoa, Chordata, Amphibia, Anura, Bufonidae.